UCUGGCUAGAUCACGCUGGCGGCGUGCCUAACACAUGCAAGUCGAGCGCGAACGGGGACUUCGGUUCUCAAGUAGAGCGGCGAACGGGUGAGUAACACGUGGGUAAUCUGCCUCCGGGUGGGGAAUAACUCAGGGAAACUUGAGCUAAUUCCGCAUAAUGUCUCGGACCAUUGGGUCUGUGACCAAAGCUGGGGACCCUUCGGGGCCUGGCGCCGGGAGAGGAGCCCGCGGCCAAUUAGCUUGUUGGUGAGGUAAUGGCUCACCAAGGCUGCGAUUGGUAGCCGGCCUGAGAGGGCGGACGGCCACACUGGAACUGAGAUACGGUCCAGACUCCUACGGGAGGCAGCAGUGAGGAAUUUUCGUCAAUGGGGGAAACCCUGAACGAGCAACGCCGCGUGGAGGACGAAGACCUUCGGGUUGUAAACUCCUGUCGGACGGGACGAAUGUUAUUGAGGUUAAUACCCUUGGUAGUUGACGGUACCGUACGAGGAAGCUCCGGCUAACUUCGUGCCAGCAGCCGCGGUAAUACGAGGGGAGCAAGCGUUGUUCGGAAUUACUGGGCGUAAAGGGCGCGUAGGCGGUUUGGCAAGUCUUCUGUGAAAGCCCACGGCUCAACCGUGGAACUGCAGAGGAAACUGCCAGACUUGAGUCCGGGAGGGGAGAGUGGAAUUCCCAGUGUAGCGGUGAAAUGCGCAGAUAUUGGGAGGAACACCGGAGGCGAAGGCGUCUCUCUGGACCGGUACUGACGCUGAGGCGCGAAAGCCAGGGGAGCGAACGGGAUUAGAUACCCCGGUAGUCCUGGCCGUAAACGAUGAGUACUGGAUGUGGCGGGUAUUGACCCCUGCCGUGUCGGCGCUAACGCAUUAAG
RNAcentral lists this ribosomal RNA (868 nucleotides) under uncultured bacterium. Its description in RNAcentral is "bacterial SSU rRNA". It matches the Rfam family "Bacterial small subunit ribosomal RNA", at positions 18 to 864 of the family's 1533-position model. The record is from RNAcentral.